RNAcentral lists this long non-coding RNA (4099 nucleotides) under Homo sapiens (human). RNAcentral describes it as "HSALNT0169011". The record is from RNAcentral. Lineage: Eukaryota; Metazoa; Chordata; Mammalia; Primates; Hominidae.
UUAACAAGAGAAAAGCAUGCACUUUAUUUCAUACACGUUUUACAAGAAAUGGGAGCCUUCAUAAGGAAAUGAAGAUCCAAAGAAGCGUUAAAACCAAGUGUUUUUAUGCUAGGUUUGAUGAAGAGAGUCAUAGAAGAAUGUGAUAGGACAAAGGUUGUGAGCUAAGUCCAGCAAACUAGGGGAAAUUUAGCAAGGCCUGUGCAUUAGAUUCCUUUCCGUGUCCCUUCAUCUUUAAGAUAGGAUGCUCCUGUCCUCCAGGAAGAGGGAGGGCAGCUCUCAUGUCAGGGUCUUAUAAUCUGCUUCAGGGGAAGGCCAGGGAGCCUUUCCUGCAUGUGCUAUUUCUCAAAUUCCUUCAGCUUAAAAUACUUAAUAUGCCAAGGUGCCAUAUUUUGGGGUAGCAAGUCGUGAAUCCCAUCUCUGUGAAAACUUCUUUUGGUUUCUUCCUUGGUAGAGUAUUUAGUGAUUUAUAAAAAAAAAAUUGCUCGGAUUUUACUUAAGGAGACACUGUGAUCCUUCUGAAAUGUAAUUAUUUUAUAAUGUGAAUAAUUUAACCCUCUGAUUUUUCUGUGGCAAGACGUUUUGAUACUAAGUAGUUAUGGAGCUGGGGGAGGUAGUGUGCACUUGUAGUCUCAGAUACUUGGGAGACUGAGGUGGGAGGAUCACUUGAGCCCAGGAGUUCGAGGUUACAGUGAACUAUGAUCGCACCACUGCACUCCAGCCUGGGAGACAGAGGAACACUCCAUUUCUAAAAAUAAUAACAAUGACAAUAAUAAUAAGUAGUCAUGAAAAUGUAAAAGGCCAGGGGAGUGUUCAUGAAGGUCUGUUUCUAUGGCAAGAUUUCUUUUUUCCCACUAUCAGUAACCACACUUCUGCCCCGACCGCGAGCCUGUAUUUUUAUGGAGGGCAUUAAGUAACUCUGUCUAUAAAAAAUUACUGAGAGAGCAGCCAGGCGCGGUGGCUCACCCAAUAAAUUUUCUUUAUAAAUUACCCAGUCUGUGGCAAUGUUAUGGCAGCACAAAAUGCUCUAAAACAAGAGAAUGGGGAAGAAUUGUGGGGUAGGAGAAAAGGAUGCUUCAGGGCUUCUCUGAAAAUGUGACACUUACACUAGAAUUUGAAAGAUAAAUAACAGUAAAUUAGGUGAAAAUUGUGGGGGAAAGAUUUUUAAGCUUUAAGACUGCAAAAACAAAAACUUGUACAGGAAAACUAAAAUAGUUACAAUUUAGUAUAUGACUUGCUAUUAAAAGUGUUUACAUAGUCACAAUAAAGUUAAAAUUUGAACAUUGAUCUAACCAACUUUAUAGUUAACUAUAUUGGGAGGCUGGGGGGAUGCGAAGGACUCACAUAUGUGAUGAUGACCAAGAAGAUAAAAAAGAGAAAAAUCCUAAUCUUUCUUCUGAAAAAUUAACAGAUAAUACAAUGGAGGAAAAAAGGAAAAAUUACAAGUAGCAAUGGAAUCAUGUUAAUUUAGAAAUAUAGCAAUACUGAAAGAAUCAGCUUAAAGAGGUAAAAGUAGUUGCCUCCAGGUUGCGCUAAAUGGGGUAAACAUUUGCUAGUUUUCUGUGUACUUAUCAAAAAUGCAAUCCCAACUAGAUUUUCCACUAGGUUAUAAGAUCCCUGAAGCAAUGAUUUUGGUAUUUGUAUGUUUUGUUUCCCAGCACCUAGAAUAGUACCUGAUUUAUAAAAGAUGCUCAAUGAAUAGUUGCUGAAUGAAUAAUGCCCACUUUCUAUAAACUGCCUAAAUAUCAUCUCUAGAUAUUUAGACACAUCAGAUAUUUAGACACACUACUUCAUUUUCUUGGACCUCUUUUCCAGAGUCUUUUGACCUAUUCCAAUCUGGACUUGCUGCCUUUUACUUCUGGUCCAAAAUCGUCUUCCUAGGAUCUUCUACCACCAUUACCUUAAAGAUUAUCUUUUUUUCCUCUUUUUUCUUUUUAUUGAGGCCUCAGAAAAAAACUGUUCUCCUCUUCUUCCAUAGUUACAGAUAGGUUGCCCAGCGAAGAACUGCAUUUCUCACCUAUAGAGAUGUAGCUGAGGUUGGUUUCCUAGCAAGGAACCACAUUUCCCAGACUUCUUUGCAGCCAGAUAAGGCUGUGUGAUUAAGUUCUUACCAGUGAACUCUGAGUGAGUGAGAUGUUUGGAACUCCCACUUCUAUUUCUUUUUUUAUAGUGACAACACCUUACGUUGCCCAGACUGGUCUCAAACUCCUGGGCUCAAGCAAUUCUCCUGCCAUGGCCUCCCAAAGUGCUGGGAUUACAGAUGUGAGCCACUGUGCCCAGCCCAACUUCCAUUUUUUAGGGGAAAAAGAUUUGGCCCUGCAUGUUUUUUCCUCCUUCCUGAUGCAUAGGAGGGUGAUGACUAGAAUGACCUGCUUAAAGACACCUUGGAUUUUUAUGUGAACAUUGCAGUCUGAGGUCUCUUUAUACAGCUGCCAGCAUUUGCUCUUAUUAGUUCAGAAAUUGGUAUCAGAAGUGAGAUGGUAUCAUAACAAACAGAAAAUAAUGUGGCUCUAAUUUCGUGGUCAGAUAGUGGGUGGUGAUACAUGAAAGCAGAAUGCUCCAGAAAAAUAAGGGGAUGAUUUGAUUCAGGCUGUUGCAAGCGGGAGAGCAUUCAUUCAUGAGCAUCUCAAACAGGAGGGUUAAUAUUUGGGGCUUUAUAAAAACAAAGGAAUCAUUGUGGAAGGGUGGAGGCAGGUCUUAUGUUGGAAUAUGCAAGAGCAAAGUGGUCCUUUGCAAUUAACCCUGUCUUAGAACACAAAAAGGUAGGGGGGAUUCCUGAACUGUUUCUGUUUUUUGGGGGUAGGCAAAAAAUAGGGAAGAUGGCACUCAUUGACCGAGUCACAACGUAUCUGGUCUAAUUGCUGCAGAGGUUGUGGGUCAGAGUUUUAUUGUUAACUAUAGCCUGACUGCUGGGCACAGUGGCUCCUGCCUGUAAUCCCAGCACUUUGGGAGUCCAAGGUGGGCGAAUUGCUUGAACCCAGGAGUUCGAGACCAGCCUGGGCAAUGUGGUGAAACCCUGUCUCUAACAAUAAUAUGAAAAUUAGUUGGUGUGUGCCUGUAGUCCCAGCUACUUGGGGAUGAGGUGGGAGGAUCACUUGAACCCAGGAGGUUGAGGCUGCAGUGAGCCGUAAUUGUGCCACUGCACUUCAGCUUGGGUGACAGAUUGAGACCCUGUCUAAAAAAAUAAAAAUUAAAUAUAAUCUGACCAUUGUCUGUUUGUAUAUGCAGUUUGCUUAGAAAUAUUGUGCAAGCCAUGUAUGUAAUUUAAAAGUUGUCAGCAGUCAUACUUUAAAAAGUAAAAAUAAAUAGGUAAAUUAUUUUUAAUUUUUUUAUUUUUUGAGAUGGAGUCUCACUCCGUUGCCCAGGCUGGAGUGUAGUGGUGUGAUCUUAGCUUACUGCAACCUCCACCUCCCGGGUUCAAGUGAUUCUCCUGCCUCAGCCUCCUGAGUAGCUGCAAUUACAGGCACGUGCUACCACGCCUGGCUAAUUUUUGUAUUUUUUGUAGAGGCUAGGUGAUUCACCCGUCUCGGCCUCCCAAAGUGUUGGGAUUACAGGCGUGAGCCACCAUGCCCAGCCAUAAAUUAGUUUUUAUAGUAUAUUUAACCCAGCAUGUCAAAAAUAAUACAAUUUGAAAAAAGAAUCAAUACAAAUAUUAUUAAUAUGAUAUUUUACUUUGUUCCCUGAAGUCUUUGAAAUUCUGUAUGUAUUUUAUACUUAUAGCACUUCUCACUUCAGAUAGUCAUAUUUCUAGUGCUCACUAGACACGGGUGGCUAGAGGCUACCAGAUUGGACAGCACAAGAGAUGUUAGAACGUUACAGGACUGGAAAUGCUAAUCAAUUCAAUAUUCAAAUCACAGGAGGUAAAAUUUUUGCUGAAAACUAUUUUCAAGGGUCCUUUGAGACUUCUUGGGUAAUCAGAAGAAUCCAGCCUUACAGCAAAGUUCAAAUCAAGGAUGGUCCUCUCCUACUGGAGGCUAUUUCAAAUCACUUCAAGUUAACCCCCAGUUAGGCUGAAAAAUGAGCUUGAAUCAGAUAAGGAAGUAAAGAAUUCGGAAUGGACUGGAAAUAAAAAUACCAGGAGCAGGGCCUGAAAAAGCCAGCA